Molecule: ribosomal RNA, 448 nt
Filed under: uncultured bacterium
Lineage: Bacteria
Description: bacterial SSU rRNA
Rfam family: Bacterial small subunit ribosomal RNA
Source: RNAcentral
UUCCAGACUCCUACGGGAGGCAGCAGUGGGGGAUAUUGCACAAUGGGGGGAACCCCGAUGCAGCGACGCCGCGUGGGUGAAGGAGUGCUUCGGCAUGUAAAGCCCUAUCGGCAGGGAAGAAGCAAGACGGUACCUGACUAAGAAGCCCCGGCUAACUACGUGCCAGCAGCCGCGGUAAUACGUAGGGGGCAAGCGUUAUCCGGAUUUACUGGGUGUAAAGGGAGCGUAGACGGCUGUGCAAGUCUGAAGUGAAAGCCCAGGGCUCAACCCUGGGACUGCUUUGGAAACUGUGGAACUAGAUUGCAGGAGAGGUAAGUGGAAUUCCUAGUGUAGCGGUGAAAUGCGUAGAUAUUAGGAGGAACACCAGUGGCGAAGGCGGCUUACUGGACUGUAAAUGACGCUGAGGCUCGAAAGCGUGGGGAGCAAACAGGAUUAGAUACCCCAGUAC